Molecule: transfer RNA, 65 nt
Filed under: Brachygalba albogularis
Lineage: Eukaryota; Metazoa; Chordata; Aves; Piciformes; Galbulidae
Description: tRNA-Ser
Source: RNAcentral
GAGGAGAGGCCUACCAGCAAGAACUGCUAAUUCUCGCACCUGAGUAUAAAACCUCAGUCUCCUUA